This 1240-nucleotide ribosomal RNA is filed under the name Staphylococcus aureus. RNAcentral's name for it is "partial 23S ribosomal RNA". It matches the Rfam family "Bacterial large subunit ribosomal RNA", at positions 328 to 1572 of the family's 2925-position model. Lineage: Bacteria; Bacillati; Bacillota; Bacilli; Caryophanales; Staphylococcaceae. The record is from RNAcentral.
AUUAGACGAAUCAUCUGGAAAGAUGAAUCAAAGAAGGUAAUAAUCCUGUAGUCGAAAAUGUUGUCUCUCUUGAGUGGAUCCUGAGUACGACGGAGCACGUGAAAUUCCGUCGGAAUCUGGGAGGACCAUCUCCUAAGGCUAAAUACUCUCUAGUGACCGAUAGUGAACCAGUACCGUGAGGGAAAGGUGAAAAGCACCCCGGAAGGGGAGUGAAAUAGAACCUGAAACCGUGUGCUUACAAGUAGUCAGAGCCCGUUAAUGGGUGAUGGCGUGCCUUUUGUAGAAUGAACCGGCGAGUUACGAUUUGAUGCAAGGUUAAGCAGUAAAUGUGGAGCCGUAGCGAAAGCGAGUCUGAAUAGGGCGUUUAGUAUUUGGUCGUAGACCCGAAACCAGGUGAUCUACCCUUGGUCAGGUUGAAGUUCAGGUAACACUGAAUGGAGGACCGAACCGACUUACGUUGAAAAGUGAGCGGAUGAACUGAGGGUAGCGGAGAAAUUCCAAUCGAACCUGGAGAUAGCUGGUUCUCUCCGAAAUAGCUUUAGGGCUAGCCUCAAGUGAUGAUUAUUGGAGGUAGAGCACUGUUUGGACGAGGGGCCCCUCUCGGGUUACCGAAUUCAGACAAACUCCGAAUGCCAAUUAAUUUAACUUGGGAGUCAGAACAUGGGUGAUAAGGUCCGUGUUCGAAAGGGAAACAGCCCAGACCACCAGCUAAGGUCCCAAAAUAUAUGUUAAGUGGAAAAGGAUGUGGCGUUGCCCAGACAACUAGGAUGUUGGCUUAGAAGCAGCCAUCAUUUAAAGAGUGCGUAAUAGCUCACUAGUCGAGUGACACUGCGCCGAAAAUGUACCGGGGCUAAACAUAUUACCGAAGCUGUGGAUUGUCCUUUGGACAAUGGUAGGAGAGCGUUCUAAGGGCGUUGAAGCAUGAUCGUAAGGACAUGUGGAGCGCUUAGAAGUGAGAAUGCCGGUGUGAGUAGCGAAAGACGGGUGAGAAUCCCGUCCACCGAUUGACUAAGGUUUCCAGAGGAAGGCUCGUCCGCUCUGGGUUAGUCGGGUCCUAAGCUGAGGCCGACAGGCGUAGGCGAUGGAUAACAGGUUGAUAUUCCUGUACCACCUAUAAUCGUUUUAAUCGAUGGGGGGACGCAGUAGGAUAGGCGAAGCGUGCGAUUGGAUUGCACGUCUAAGCAGUAAGGCUGAGUAUUAGGCAAAUCCGGUACUCGUUAAGGCUGAGCUGUGAUGGGGA